RNAcentral lists this ribosomal RNA (253 nucleotides) under uncultured bacterium. RNAcentral describes it as "partial 16S ribosomal RNA". It matches the Rfam family "Bacterial small subunit ribosomal RNA", at positions 524 to 776 of the family's 1533-position model. The record is from RNAcentral.
UACGAAGGGGGCUAGCGUUGCUCGGAAUCACUGGGCGUAAAGCGCACGUAGGCGGUCUUUUAAGUCGGGGGUGAAAGCCUGUGGCUCAACCACAGAAUUGCCUUCGAUACUGUAGAGCUUGAGACCGGAAGAGGUAAGUGGAACUGCGAGUGUAGAGGUGAAAUUCGUAGAUAUUCGCAAGAACACCAGUGGCGAAGGCGGCUUACUGGUCCGGUUCUGACGCUGAGGCGCGAAAGCGUGGGGAGCAAACAGG